Molecule: non-coding RNA, 726 nt
Organism: Bubalus bubalis (water buffalo)
Lineage: Eukaryota; Metazoa; Chordata; Mammalia; Artiodactyla; Bovidae
Source: the annotation of a RefSeq genome assembly
GAUAUCUGCACUGGUUGUUAAGUCUUUACUAACAGCUGUUGCCUCUGUUCUCAGAUCCAAGCCUGAACUCUGAGCCCACGAUCCUGGUUUGUCCCUGAAGUAUGAGGCUGGUGACUGGAGUAACAGUGUUUCUGACCUUGGGGACUGUGAUUGAUGCUAAGACCACCCAGCCCAGCUCCAUGGACUGUGCUGAAGGAGAAAACAUAAACCUCCCUUGUAACCACUCUACCAUUGGUGGAAAUGAGUAUAUACAUUGGUAUAGGCAAAAUCCCAAUCAGAGUCCACAGUAUGUCAUUCGUGGCUUACAAGGCACAGUGAACAGCAGCAUGGCCUCUCUGACCAUAGCUUCAGACAGAGAGUCCAGCACCUUGGUCCUGCCCCAGGUCACCCUGAGAGACACCGCUGUGUACUACUGCAUCCUAAGAGAGGCACACUGGGACAGAUGGGGCUGCACCUGUGCAGUAUCUCUCUUGUGGGAGGAAGGGGGGACACAGUGGGGGAGCAGUCACGAGAGCAAAUCUAGAGUCAUCUAGAAGGAGAGUCAGAGAGUAGUAAGAAAUGAGUAAAAUGAAGGGAAGGAAAAGGGAAGAAGAUGGAUAAAGAAAAGAAGAAAAGGACAAGGAAGAAGUGCAUCAUUGUUUGAUGUGGCUGAGAAGAAUUUUGGGAAUUAUGGGAAUACGAAGAAUUCCAAUUGCAACAUACAAAUAAAGUGAGAAGCAUUAGCAA